CUGCAUCUUGCUUAGUGAAGCAAUGGAUAAAAUAUUAUCUACUCAUUAAUUCAUACGUCACCAGUAACUGUUAGGUGAGGUGUACAUGGAUCAGUGGAAGUGCAAUACCCAUUAAAAAUUGAUCAUGUAUAGAUUUCUAUUUCUCCACUCAAGGAGUAUGGGAGACUCAUAGAAAUAGUAGGAGCCUUGUUUAUUUAUUAAAAUCC
Molecule: long non-coding RNA, 206 nt
Filed under: Elaeis guineensis (African oil palm)
Lineage: Eukaryota; Viridiplantae; Streptophyta; Magnoliopsida; Arecales; Arecaceae
Description: long non-coding RNA (EGUI_LNC034134)
Source: RNAcentral